RNAcentral lists this ribosomal RNA (449 nucleotides) under uncultured bacterium. Its description in RNAcentral is "partial 16S ribosomal RNA". It matches the Rfam family "Bacterial small subunit ribosomal RNA", at positions 29 to 523 of the family's 1533-position model. The record is from RNAcentral.
AACGAACGCUGGCGGCAUGCCUAACACAUGCAAGUCGAACGAAGCCUUCGGGCUUAGUGGCGCACGGGUGCGUAACGCGUGGGAAUCUGCCCUUUGGUUCGGAAAAAAAGUUGGAAACGACUGCUAAUACCGGAUGAUGACGAAAGUCCAAAGAUUUAUCGCCAGAGGAUGAGCCCGCGUAGGAUUAGCUAGUUGGUGUGGUAAAGGCGCACCAAGGCGACGAUCCUUAGCUGGUCUGAGAGGAUGAUCAGCCACACUGGGACUGAGACACGGCCCAGACUCCUACGGGAGGCAGCAGUGGGGAAUAUUGGACAAUGGGCGAAAGCCUGAUCCAGCAAUGCCGCGUGAGUGAUGAAGGCCCUAGGGUUGUAAAGCUCUUUUACCCGGGAUGAUAAUGACAGUACCGGGAGAAUAAGCCCCGGCUAACUCCGUGCCAGCCGCCGCGGUAA